This 84-nucleotide transfer RNA is filed under the name Mustela putorius furo (domestic ferret). It matches the Rfam family "tRNA". Rfam says of the family: Transfer RNA (tRNA) molecules are approximately 80 nucleotides in length. Lineage: Eukaryota; Metazoa; Chordata; Mammalia; Carnivora; Mustelidae. The record is from Rfam by way of RNAcentral.
GCCUGGGUGGCUUAGUCAGUUAAGCAUCUGACUUCAGCUCAGGUCUUGAUCCCAAGGUCCUGGGAUUGAGUCCCACACUGGGCU